RNAcentral lists this ribosomal RNA (819 nucleotides) under uncultured eukaryote. RNAcentral's name for it is "SSU rRNA". It matches the Rfam family "Eukaryotic small subunit ribosomal RNA", at positions 629 to 1426 of the family's 1831-position model. The record is from RNAcentral.
CGGUGUUUAACUGGCGUGAUGUGGGACGUCCUACCGGUGGGCUUAGCCUCGCGAGGGGCGGCCCAACUAAUAUCCCGUCGCGGUGCUCUUUACUGAGUGUCGAGUCGGGCCGGUACGUUUACUUUGAACAAAUUAGAGUGCUUAAAGCAGGCUAUCCUCGCCUGAAUACUGCGUGCAUGGAAUAAUGGAAUAGGACCUCGGUUCUAUUUUGUUGGUUUUCGGAACCCCGAGGUAAUGAUUAAUAGGGACAGAUGGGGGCAUUCGUAUUGCGACGUUAGAGGUGAAAUUCUUGGAUCGUCGCAAGACGGACAGAAGCGAAGGCAUUUGCCAAAAAUGUUUUCAUUAAUCAAGAACGAAAGUUAGAGGUUCGAAGGCGAUCAGAUACCGCCCUAGUUCUAACCAUAAACGAUGCCAGCUAGCGAUCCGCCGAAGUUCCUCCGAUGACUCGGCGGGCAGCUUCCGGGAAACCAAAGCUUUUGGGUUCCGGGGGAAGUAUGGUUGCAAAGCUGAAACUUAAAGGAAUUGACGGAAGGGCACCACCAGGAGUGGAGCCUGCGGCUUAAUUUGACUCAACACGGGAAACCUCACCAGGCCCAGACACCGGAAGGAUUGACAGAUUGAUAGCUCUUUCUUGAUUCGGUGGGUGGUGGUGCAUGGCCGUUCUUAGUUGGUGGAGCGAUUUGUCUGGUUAAUUCCGAUAACGAACGAGACUCUAGCCUGCUAAAUAGGCGUACCUUAUGGUAUCGCGAAGGCCCCCGGCUUCGGCCGGUGGGUUUUUACUACCAACGUACAAACAAAUCUUCUUAGAGGGACAGGCGG